Small nucleolar RNA from Gadus morhua (Atlantic cod), 70 nucleotides. Its record names the gene SNORD18. It matches the Rfam family "Small nucleolar RNA SNORD18". Rfam says of the family: U18 is a member of the C/D class of snoRNA which contain the C (UGAUGA) and D (CUGA) box motifs. It is encoded in introns of ribosomal protein L1 in Xenopus and human, and in introns of elongation factor 1 beta in yeast. The record is from Ensembl. NCBI's taxonomy places the organism in Eukaryota, Metazoa, Chordata, Actinopteri, Gadiformes, Gadidae.
UUGCAGUGAUGAGCUUCUACUUCGGUCCGUGUUGUUGAAACUCUGUGAUAAUAACAGAAGUUCUGAGCCU